UACCAGCACCCCGAGUGGUCGGGACGAUUAUUGGGCCUAAAGCAUCCGUAGCCGGUCAUGCAAGUCUUCCGUUAAAUCCAGCCGCUCAACGGUUGGGCUGCGGAGGAUACUACGUGGCUAGGAGGCGGGAGAGGCAAGCGGUACUCAGUGGGUAGGGGUAAAAUCCGUUGAUCCAUAGAAGACCACCAGUGGCGAAGGCGGCUUGCCAGAACGCGCUCGACGGUGAGGGAUGAAAGCUGGGGGAGCAAACCGG
RNAcentral lists this ribosomal RNA (253 nucleotides) under uncultured bacterium. RNAcentral's name for it is "partial 16S ribosomal RNA". It matches the Rfam family "Archaeal small subunit ribosomal RNA", at positions 474 to 727 of the family's 1478-position model. The record is from RNAcentral.